Molecule: ribosomal RNA, 401 nt
Filed under: uncultured bacterium
Lineage: Bacteria
Description: bacterial SSU rRNA
Rfam family: Bacterial small subunit ribosomal RNA
Source: RNAcentral
CGGGAAUUUUGGGCAAUGGGCGAAAGCCUGACACAGCAACGCCGCGUGAGGGAUGAAGUAUUUCGGUAUGUAAACCUCGAAAGAAUGGGAAGAAUAAAUGACGGUACCAUUUAUAAGCUCCGGCUAACUACGUGCCAGCAGCCGCGGUAAUACGUAGGGAGCAAGCGUUGUUCGGAUUUACUGGGCGUAAAGGGCGCGUAGGCGGCGCGGUAAGUCACUUGUGAAAUCUCUGAGCUUAACUCAGAACGGCCAAGUGAUACUGCUGUGCUAGAGUGCGGAAGAGGCAACCGGAAUUCUUGGUGUAGCGGUGAAAUGCGUAGAUAUCAAGAGGAACACCUGAGGCGAAGGCGGGUUGCUGGGCCGACACUGACGCUGAUGCGCGAAAGCCAGGGGAGCAAACG